Molecule: ribosomal RNA, 216 nt
Filed under: Triticum aestivum (bread wheat)
Lineage: Eukaryota; Viridiplantae; Streptophyta; Magnoliopsida; Poales; Poaceae
Description: partial small subunit ribosomal RNA
Source: RNAcentral
UAUACUUUUAAUGUCGAAUCGGGAUUCACUAAGACAGAAAUAAAGCAUUGGGUCCUCUUCUUUGGUGUUAAGGUGGUAGCUGUGAAUAGCCAUCGACUACCUGGAAAAGGUAGAAGAAUAGGACCUAUUCUGGGCCAUACAAUGCAUUACAGACGUAUGAUCAUUACCCUUCAACCGGGUUAUUCUAUUCCACUUCUAGAUAGAGAAAAAAACUAA